UCCGACCACCUAAGCCUUGUCUCCUUGCUCUGAUUUUGUCUACACUCCAAUGUUUUGUCUAUUUUCCCAAAAUACCAUUAUUUUCUUCUCUUAAUUACGUCUCAACACAACGUUUCCUAUGUCACAUAUGAGGGGUAAUGUUGUAAAUUCAUUUCGACAACAAGAUUACGUGAGCCGUUCUGUCUGAUUUUGAAACACUAACCGACAAAAACCAAAGUUACUUGAAGUUUCCGAAUCACGAGGUUCCAUUUCGCUAACUCAUUGUCUAUAUAAAGCCCCACGAUGCUUGUUAUCUCCUUCAAAACACAGCUCUCUCUCUCUCUCUCUCUACAAACCUUCUUAACCUCACGAGACAAACAUACCCGAAAAUGGGAGCUUGCGGUUCAAGUGAAUCUAGGAGAACAGACACAGCGAAGCUAAUAUUACAAGACGGAACGUUACAAGAGUUUACGUCACCUGUAAAAGUGUGGCAGAUUCUUCAGAAGAAUCCCACGAGUUUUGUUUGUAACUCAGACGAUAUGGACUUCGACGACGCAGUUAUAGCAGUCGGUGGCAGCGAGGAUCUCCGGCCUGGAGAGCUUUACUUCGUUUUACCGUUAACAUGGCUGAAUCAUCCAUUAAGAGCAGAGCAAAUGGCUGCUUUGGCGGUUAAAGCGAGCUCUGCGCUUAACAAAAGUGGUUGGAGUUGUGGCGAUGAUGGUGAUGCGAGAAAGGUCUCUGGUGGUGAGUGUGGUAGAGUUAAGAGAGUAAAAAGAAAUAGUUGCGGCGGAAGAGGCUGUGGUGGUGGCGGUAAAGGGAGGAGGAAGUUUACGGUGGAGUUGAGUUCGAUAGCUGAGUAGGGUAAUGUGGUUGUGUAAAUUGUAAUUACAGAGUUUUUUUUUUCCUUAAAUCUUAAACAUGUAGUUUAUUUUGUUGUUGUACAAAUAUUCUUUUGGGUAAAUAUUUCCAUUAAUAUCAAAAGUUUAAGAUUGAUUACAGAAAUAAUAUACAAAAUCAAUACAAUACUAAAAGGCCAAAAGCAGAAUAAAGGCUCCUCUCAUGCUGUCCACGUCCUCAAUUAUAAUCAACCAAUAGAAAACCACCGUUCAGCCACGUCAUUUUAUUUCUAUCGGGCUUAAAAUUCACAAUUUCUCUAUUGGACCUUCCCUCAUCUAUGGCCCAGUCAAUAUCACAAAAUAAAACCCUAAUACCCAUAUGUAUCGACGUUCUUCUUCGUCUUCUCCGUUUCCUCAUCAUCCAAACUCCAUUACUGACCCUAACUGCUAUCAAUCAAUCUUCUUCACUACCCUCUUAAUGAAUUCGUUUCAUCUUGCUAUAUUUCUCCUUCUUUAUAAACCAUUUCGUCUUCAAUGGCUUCCAUUCAGUCUCGAAAUUCGUCUCCUCUCAAGAAGUUGCAGCUAUGGCUACGAAACCAAACGACAAGUCUAUUGUCUCCACCGGAAAGUCCCCAGUUGCCAUGUACUUUAACGAUAUCUCACCAGGUCCACAUGAAUCCGAAUUACGGUUCUGGCUGAUACAUUUCUGGGAGGCUAGAAACAUAGCAAAAGCAAAAACUCUUAUUGGUCUGGAAAAUCUCAUGAUCGAUGAACAGAUGUUGUUGGCCACAUGAAGCUGGUCAAUGGACAGACUCUCAUUAAGCGUCCCCGAAACGUCUAGGAGGUACCCUUGCCCUCAGCUCAUUGUCAUCCUCACGGGUUUUCAUGGACUAUGAUGUCCAACCAACAAUUGAUUACUUCAACUGGAUGGGUUCUAAACCAUAGAUUCAGGAGCUGGUUAAUGCGGAGGUGGUAACUAAGGCUGAGACAAUGACUAUUGCAGAAAUAUAUGCCUACAUCAAGCAGGAAUCUGCGAAGGUAAAAUCAAAGCUCUAUAUUUCUCAGACAAUAAAAAAUGCUACUCUAUGUUUUUCAGUCCAAACGAAAUGCUUAGUUAUUUUGAUCACUUGCUUUAAUACAACUGCAUGUAGCUUUUUUUGAGUGCAUAGCCACCAUUGAUGAUGUUGUACGUGACUCUGCUUGGUAUUAUAUUGCCUGCAGUGGCUGCCAUACUAAGGCCAUCAAAGGUCCUACUUCUUUGAUGUGUCCUAAAUGUGGCAACGAUAACGUAGCCGGUGUUCCACAGUAUGAGCUCUAUCCUCAAUACUCACUUAAACCUUGGCUGGAAUUGACGUUUUAUUUCUCUUAAUAACAGGUACCGUGCGAAGAUCUCCGUGUACGACAAUAACGAGCAGGCUGUUUUCGUCCUACUUGGUGAGGCUGGUCGUGAGUUGUCUGGGAAACAUGCAGCAGAAGUAGUUGACAGCUACUUUGAGGCUAAUCAAAACCUUGGAGCUGACCAUCAGAUACCUGUCGCUGAAGCUUUAAUCAACACUAUUGGUCAAACACAUAAAUUCAGUGUCAAGGUAUCGGACCACAACUUAACAGGGAAGACACAGACUAUAACUGUCACAAAGAUUCUCUCUCCAGCAGUUCUGCCAGCUGGAACAGCCUCAGUCGAAAACUAUGUUGCUCUAACAUCCGACGCAGCUGGAGAUCAUGCAAGCGAGGGAAUAAAAGUACCUGUCACAGUGACGAACCAAAGAAAGCAAAGCGUCCAAAACAAGACAAUUAGAGCUUCCACCACUCAUCUCAGAGGUCUCAGGCCUUCGUUGCAGUUUCAGUUUCCUUUUUUCUUUUGAGCAUAGACUUAGUUUCCCUUUAACUCACUAUUUCAGUGUUUGGUUUUCCUGUGAGAGUAGAGCUUACCCACUAUACUCUGAUCAUGAACGCCUUUGUUGCAGUUUCAGUCAUCAGUUAUCAGUUUAAACAUUCACUAAUGCUUCCCUUUCAGUGUUA
Molecule: RNA transcript, 2834 nt
Organism: Brassica napus (rape)
Lineage: Eukaryota; Viridiplantae; Streptophyta; Magnoliopsida; Brassicales; Brassicaceae
Exons: 5
Source: RefSeq, a predicted model, not a curated record